Molecule: ribosomal RNA, 918 nt
Filed under: Triticum aestivum (bread wheat)
Lineage: Eukaryota; Viridiplantae; Streptophyta; Magnoliopsida; Poales; Poaceae
Description: partial small subunit ribosomal RNA
Source: RNAcentral
AUGGCCGCCGGGAGGAGGCUGUCGGAGCUGCUCCAGGAGCAGCAGGAGCCGUUCCUCGUCGAGGCCGCCAAGAUUCGGAGGCCGCGGCGCGGCCGUGGCGGGGGAGGAGGAGGGUCUUGCUGCCCCGUGGCCGCGUGCCAGCGGCUGCUCAGGCUCUGCAACCACGGCUUCAAGAAGAGGAGCGGCGGCAUUAGCGGCCUGAGGUCCGCGCUGAGCAAGGUGCUGUGCGGCAAGGCCGUGAGGAGUGUGUUGCGCUGGGAAAAUCUUGGCGGCGGGUGCUUCACCGGCGUCGGCGACCGCGAGUUCCGCCGGCUGCGGCGGUCCGCCGUCUACAGCGGCGAAUGCGAUGCCUGUGCCAUGGAGUUUGACGACGACGACGGGUAUGAGCGGCAGGGAGGAGCGAGGUGGAAGACGGACAUGGAGAUCGACUCGUCGCGGCAGCUCAGCCCGGUCUCCGUCCUGGAGCUGCACUCCGACGACGACUCUCCGGUGCAUCCUCGUUGGGAGGAGGACGAGAAGCCAUCAACCUCCGGGAGCUCACCCUCAGCUCCAUCCUCAGACUUCCACGGCCCCACCUCGCCGUGCUUCACCUACAACGUCCACGACGGCAAGGCUCUUGCAAUGGAGACGACGGAGGAAGAGGACGAGGAGACGGCCGGCAACCGCGGCGGCGGCGGCGGCGGCAAGUGCGUCGAGGAGCAGAUCUCGUCGUGGGAGAGGAUCGCCGGGGACAUCUACAAGAUCCCCGGGAUGGUGGAGCUGGACCUGUCAGAGUCCGGGCAGCAAUGGAGGGGGCUCCUGCCGGAGGUCAGGGAGAUCGGCGCCAGGAUUGAGACCCUCAUCUUCGAGGAGAUCAGGAGGGAGACCGUCUGUGACAUGCUCGCCUCACACUCUACAUUUUCACCAACAUCUCGUUGA